RNAcentral lists this ribosomal RNA (1508 nucleotides) under uncultured Gammaproteobacteria bacterium. RNAcentral describes it as "bacterial SSU rRNA". It matches the Rfam family "Bacterial small subunit ribosomal RNA". The record is from RNAcentral. Lineage: Bacteria; Pseudomonadati; Pseudomonadota; Gammaproteobacteria.
AGGGUUCGAUUAUGGCUCAGAUUGAACGCUGGCGGUAGGCUUAACACAUGCAAGUCAUGCGAGAAAGUAUCUUCGGAUAUGAGUAGAGCGGCGGACGGGUGAGUAACGCGUAGGAAUCUACCUAGUAGAAGGGGAUAGCCCGGGGAAACCCGGAUUAAUACCGUAUACCUCCUUCGGGAGAAAGAAGGCCUCUCUUUGAAGCUUUCGCUAUUAGGUGAGCCUGCGUAAGAUUAGCUUGUUGGCGAGGUAAAGGCUCACCAAGGCGACGAUCUUUAGCUGGUCUGAGAGGACGAUCAGCCACAUUGGGACUGAGAACACGGUCCAAGACUCUCUACGGGAGGCAGCAGUGUGGAAUAUUGGACAAUUGGCGCAAGCCUGAUCCAGGCAUACGGCGUGUUGUGGAGAAGGCUUUCGGGUUGUAAAGGCACUUUAAGCAGGGAGAAAAAGUUAUUAAGUUAAUACCUUAUAACCGUGAUGUUACCUGCAGAAUAAGCACCGGCUAAUUCCGUGCCAGCAGCCGCGGUAAUACGGAAAGGUGCAAGCGUUAAUCGGAAUUACUGGGCGUAAAGCGCGCGUAGGUGGUUUGCUAAGUUGGAUGUUGAAAGCCCUGGGCUCAACGUAGGAACUGCAUCCAAAACUAACUCACUAGAGUACGAUAGAGGGAGGUAGAAAUUCAUAGUGUAGCGGUGGAAUGCGUAGAUAUUAUGAAGAAUACCAGUGGCGAAGGCGGCCUCCUGGAUCUGUACUGACACUGAGGUGCGAAAGCGUGGGUAGCGAACAGGAUUAGAUACCCUGGUAGUCCACGCCGUAAACGAUGACAACUAGCUGUUGGAAGACAAUGUCUUUCAGUGGCGCAGCUAACGUUUUAAGUUGUCCGCCUGGGGAGUACGGCCGCAAGGCUAAAACUCAAAUGAAUUGACGGGGACCCGCACAAGCGGUGGAGCAUGGUGGUUUAAUUCGAUGCAACGCGAAAAACCUUACCUACUCUUGACAUACUUGGCAGCUCUUGUAAUGAGAGUGUGCCUUUUGGAGCCAAGAUACAGGUGCUGCAUGGCUGUCGUCAGCUCGUGUCGUGAGAUGUUCCGUUAAGUCGGAUACCGAGCGCAACCCUUACCCUUAUUUGCCAUCGAUUCGGUCGGGAACCUAUAAGGGGACUGUCGGUGAUAUAACCGGAGGAAGGUGAGGACGACGUCAAGUCAUCAUGGCCCUUACGAGUAGGGCUACACACGUGCCACAAUGGCGGCGACAGAGGGUUGCGAGCUCGCGAGGGCAAGCUAAUCCCCAAAAGCCGUCUCAGUUCGGAUUGUUCUCUGCAACUCGAGAGCAUGAAGGUGGAAUCGCUAGUAAUCGCAGAUCAGCAUGCUGCGGUGAAUACGUUCCCGGGCCUUGUACACACCGCCCGUCACACCAUGGGAGUUGGUUCUACCCGAAGCUGGUGCGCUAACCUUUUAGGAGGCAGCCAACCACGGUAGGAUUAGCGACUGGGGUGAAGUCGUAACAAGGUAACC